RNAcentral lists this transfer RNA (72 nucleotides) under Camelus bactrianus (Bactrian camel). It matches the Rfam family "tRNA". From Rfam's summary of the family: Transfer RNA (tRNA) molecules are approximately 80 nucleotides in length. Their secondary structure includes four short double-helical elements and three loops (D, anti-codon, and T loops). Further hydrogen bonds mediate the characteristic L-shaped molecular structure. tRNAs have two regions of fundamental functional importance: the anti-codon, which is responsible for specific mRNA codon recognition, and the 3' end, to which the tRNAs corresponding amino acid is attached (by aminoacyl-tRNA synthetases). tRNAs cope with the degeneracy of the genetic code in two manners: having more than one tRNA (with a specific anti-codon) for a particular amino acid; and 'wobble' base-pairing, i.e. permitting non-standard base-pairing at the 3rd anti-codon position. RNAcentral also lists the same sequence under 2 other names. The record is from Rfam by way of RNAcentral. Lineage: Eukaryota; Metazoa; Chordata; Mammalia; Artiodactyla; Camelidae.
GAGGGUAUAGCUUAGUGGUAGAGUGUGUGCCUAGCAUGCAUGAAGUCCUGGGUUCAAUUCCCAGUACCUCCA